GGUUGCAAAGACAACGAGCGAACUGUCGAAUUCGGUGCUUCGCGGCUGCUGCCGAUACCUCGACCAUCGAACGUCACAGCCGAGCGAAUGUCUCGUUAGCACGACGACUUGUCUCUCGAUAUUCGUUGCGGGGGGUUCGAGGCAGCGUCGGCGGACCGGUCUCACCGUUUCGAAUGUUUGGUGUGUCGGGAAUCGGUGCCUCGCCGGGCCUUUGUGUUUCGGCUUCCCACGCGUUCGCUUCGGUUUGUCGCAGACAUGCGGGGAUGGCGCAUCGAGGAUCCAGUUCACACCUCCGCCACAGGGGUGCAUCCGGCCCGUUGCACCGUGCCCCUCCCGCGCGGGGCUUCCGUUUGACGACCGUCAGCGGAGGCGCGGCGCGUGGGGCCGGUUCGGUUCCGUCGGAUCCCUCGGCCUCGCUCCCUCGAUGUCUCGUCCAUGCGGACGGCGGCCUCGCGGACCCGGUCGGGACCGUUGAGUAUUUCGGUCCGCUGCGUGGCCGGCAUCGUCGGGGGCAGGCUCACGGAUGGACACAUGAGCGUCGGUGUUACGGGCACCAAGGACAGAAAGGGAGUGUCGCCCGGGCUCUGUUCGACGGGGAACGGGCGGCGCUGCACCGAAAAGCACGACUCUCGGCAACGGAUAUCUCGGCUCUCGC
RNAcentral lists this ribosomal RNA (655 nucleotides) under Encephalartos bubalinus. RNAcentral's name for it is "eukaryotic LSU rRNA". The record is from RNAcentral. Lineage: Eukaryota; Viridiplantae; Streptophyta; Cycadopsida; Cycadales; Zamiaceae.